CUGGCGGCGUGCCUAAUACAUGCAAGUCGAACGGUCUUUCUAUGGAAGCUUGCUUCCACUGAGAAGAUAGUGGCGAACGGGUGAGUAACACGUGGGUAACCUGCCCAUAAGAGGGGGAUAACAUCCGGAAACGGGUGCUAAUACCGCAUAGUUUUCUUGAUCGCAUGAUUGAGAAAGGAAAGAUGGCCUUUGUGCUGUCGCUUAUGGAUGGACCCGCGGCGUAUUAGUUAGUUGGUGAGGUAACGGCUCACCAAGACGAUGAUACGUAGCCGACCUGAGAGGGUGAUCGGCCACAUUGGGACUGAGACACGGCCCAAACUCCUACGGGAGGCAGCAGUAGGGAAUCUUCCGCAAUGGACGAAAGUCUGACGGAGCAACGCCGCGUGAGUGAAGAAAGGUUUUCGGAUCGUAAAACUCUGUUGUCAGAGAAGAACAAGUUGGAGAGUAACUGCUCCAGCCUUGACGGUGUCUGACCAGAAAGCCACGGCUAACUACGUGCCAGCCGCUGC
This 509-nucleotide ribosomal RNA is filed under the name uncultured bacterium. RNAcentral's name for it is "bacterial SSU rRNA". It matches the Rfam family "Bacterial small subunit ribosomal RNA", at positions 36 to 518 of the family's 1533-position model. The record is from RNAcentral.